RNAcentral lists this ribosomal RNA (253 nucleotides) under uncultured bacterium. Its description in RNAcentral is "partial 16S ribosomal RNA". It matches the Rfam family "Bacterial small subunit ribosomal RNA", at positions 524 to 776 of the family's 1533-position model. The record is from RNAcentral.
UACGUAGGGGGCAAGCGUUAUCCGGAUUUACUGGGUGUAAAGGGAGCGUAGACGGCGAUGCAAGCCUGGAGUGAAAGGCGGGGGCUCAACCCCCGGACUGCUUUGGGAACUGCAUGGCUAGAGUGUCGGAGAGGCAGGCGGAAUUCCUAGUGUAGCGGUGAAAUGCGUAGAUAUUAGGAGGAACACCAGUGGCGAAGGCGGCUUACUGGACUGUAACUGACGUUGAGGCUCGAAAGCGUGGGGAGCAAACAGG